GGCGAACUGCUCAGUAACACGUAGCUAACCUACCCUUAGGUCAAGGAUAACCUCGGGAAACUGAGGCUAAUACUUGAUAGGAGACUUGCCCUGGAAAGACUUGUCUCUUAAAUUCGAGCCCAAGGAUGGGGCUGCGGCGGAUUAGGUUGUUGGCGGGGUAAUAGCCCACCAAGCCAUCGAUCCGUAAGGGCUCUUAGCGGAGAGGCCCUGAGAGGGAAUCUGAGAAACUAUUCCCGGCUUUACGGAGUACAGCAGCUAGGAAUCUUCUGCAAUGCGCUUAAGCGUGACAGAGUGAACCGGAGUGUUCCUCAACUGAGGAACUUUUCUAUACUGUAAAAAGGUAUGGGAAUAAGGACUGGGUAAGACUAGUGCCAGCCGCCGCGGUAAUACUAGCGGUCCAAGUCGCAGCCAUCAUUACUGGGUCUAAAACAUCCGUAGCUUGUUUGAUUAGUUCUCUGUGAAAUUUUACCUCUCAAAGGUCAAGCGUGCAGGGAAUACUGUCAAACUAGAGACUGGGAGGCGUAAGGAGUACGUUUAGGGUAACGGUAAAAUGUGUUAAUCCUAGACGGACUAACAACAGCGAAGGCACCUUACGAGAACAGUUCUGACAGUGAGGGAUGAAGGCUAGGGGCGCAAAACGGAUUAGAUACCCGUGUAGUCCUAGCAGUAAACACUGCACACUAAACUUUGUGAUCUCUUCGAGAGAUUGCAGAGCUGAAGGGAAGCCGAAGAGUGUGCUACCUGGGAAGUAUAGUCGCAAGGCCGAAACUUAAAGGAAUUGGCGGGGGAGCACUACAACCGGUGACGCGUGCGGUUCAAUUAGAUUAUACACCGUGAACCUUACCAGGACCGACAGCAGGAUGAAGGUCAGUCUAAAGGGCUUACCUGACACGCUGAGAGGGGUUGCAUGGCCGACGUCAGCCUGUGCUGUGAAGUGACCUGUCAAAUCAGGUAACAGGCAAGACCCGCAUCUUUAUUUAC
RNAcentral lists this ribosomal RNA (981 nucleotides) under uncultured euryarchaeote. RNAcentral's name for it is "partial 16S ribosomal RNA". It matches the Rfam family "Archaeal small subunit ribosomal RNA", at positions 80 to 1067 of the family's 1478-position model. The record is from RNAcentral. Lineage: Archaea; Methanobacteriati; Methanobacteriota.